This 686-nucleotide ribosomal RNA is filed under the name uncultured bacterium. RNAcentral describes it as "bacterial SSU rRNA". It matches the Rfam family "Bacterial small subunit ribosomal RNA", at positions 56 to 749 of the family's 1533-position model. The record is from RNAcentral.
UGCAGUCGAGCGACGCACACUCAGUCCGUAAGGGCAGGGUGUGACGGAGCGGCGAACGGGUGAGUAACACGUGAGCAACCUGCCCCACAGAUCAGGAUAGCCCAGGGAAACCUGGAUUAAUACCGGAUAUUCUCUUUGGACCGCAUGGUCCGUUGAGGAAAUGCCUUUGUGCUGUGGGAUGGGCUCGCGAUUUAUCAGUUAGUUGGUGGGGUAACGGCCUACCAAGACAAUGACGAGCAGCUGGUCUGAGAGGACGAUCAGCCACACUGGAACUGAGACACGGUCCAGACUCCUACGGGAGGCAGCAGCAGGGAAUCUUGCGCAAUGGACGAAAGUCUGACGCAGCGACACCGCGUGGGGGAUGAAGGCCUUCGGGUUGUAAACCCCUUUUAGGAGGGAAGAAAUUGACGGUACCUCCAGAAAAAGGACCGGCCAACUACGUGCCAGCAGCCGCGGUAAUACGUAGGGUCCGAGCGUUAUCCGGAAUCAUUGGGCGUAAAGAGCUCGUAGGCGGUUCAGCAAGUCGGCUGUGAAAGUUCGAGGCUCAACCUCGAAAUUGCAGUCGAUACUGCUGUGACUUGAAUUCGGUAGAGGAGAAUGGAAUUCCCGGUGUAGCGGUGAAAUGCGCAGAUAUCGGGAGGAACACCAGUAGCGAAGGCGGUUCUCUGGACCGAUAUUGACGCUGA